This 104-nucleotide non-coding RNA is filed under the name Halobacillus sp. RNAcentral describes it as "TPP sequence". It matches the Rfam family "TPP riboswitch aptamer (THI element)". From Rfam's summary of the family: Vitamin B(1) in its active form thiamin pyrophosphate (TPP) is an essential coenzyme that is synthesised by coupling of pyrimidine and thiazole moieties in bacteria. The previously detected thiamin-regulatory element, thi box was extended, resulting in a new, highly conserved RNA secondary structure, the THI element, which is widely distributed in eubacteria and also occurs in some archaea. RNAcentral also lists the same sequence under 1 other name. The record is from RNAcentral. Lineage: Bacteria; Bacillati; Bacillota; Bacilli; Caryophanales; Bacillaceae.
GGAAACUGCUAGGGGCGCGAAUUAUCGCUGAGAUAAGGAUUAUCCUUUGUCCCUCAACACCUGAUCUGGUUCGUACCAGCGUAGGGAAGUAGUCUGGACCUCUG